This 490-nucleotide ribosomal RNA is filed under the name uncultured bacterium. RNAcentral's name for it is "partial 16S ribosomal RNA". It matches the Rfam family "Bacterial small subunit ribosomal RNA", at positions 30 to 507 of the family's 1533-position model. The record is from RNAcentral.
AUUGAACGCUGGCGGCAGGCCUAACACAUGCAAGUCGAACGGUAACAGGAAGAAGCUUGCUUCUUUGCUGACGAGUGGCGGACGGGUGAGUAAUGUCUGGGAAACUGCCUGAUGGAGGGGGAUAACUACUGGAAACGGUAGCUAAUACCGCAUAACGUCGCAAGACCAAAGAGGGGGACCUUCGGGCCUCUUGCCAUCGGAUGUGCCCAGAUGGGAUUAGCUAGUAGGUGGGGGAACGGCUCACCUAGGCGACGAUCCCUAGCUGGUCUGAGAGGAUGACCAGCCACACUGGAACUGAGACACGGUCCAGACUCCUACGGGAGGCAGCAGUGGGGAAUAUUGCACAAUGGGCGCAAGCCUGAUGCAGCCAUGCCGCGUGUAUGAAGAAGGCCUUCGGGUUGUAAAGUACUUUCAGCGGGGAGGAAGGGAGUAAAGUUAAUACCUUUGCUCAUUGACGUUACCCGCAGAAGAAGCACCGGCUAACUCCGUG